AUUGAACGCUGGCGGCAUGCCUUACACAUGCAAGUCGAACGGCAGCACGGGUGAUUGCACCUGGUGGCGAGUGGCGAACGGGUGAGUAAUACAUCGGAACAUGUCCGGUAGUGGGGGAUAGCCCGGCGAAAGCCGGAUUAAUACCGCAUACGAUCUACGGAUGAAAGCGGGGGACCUUCGGGCCUCGCGCUAUAGGGUUGGCCGAUGGCUGAUUAGCUAGUUGGUGGGGUAAAGGCCUACCAAGGCGACGAUCAGUAGCUGGUCUGAGAGGACGACCAGCCACACUGGGACUGAGACACGGCCCAGACUCCUACGGGAGGCAGCAGUGGGGAAUUUUGGACAAUGGGCGAAAGCCUGAUCCAGCAAUGCCGCGUGUGUGAAGAAGGCCUUCGGGUUGUAAAGCACUUUUGUCCGGAAAGAAAUCCUUGGCCCUAAUACGGUCGGGGGAUGACGUUACCGGAAGAAUAAGCACCGGCUAACUACGUG
RNAcentral lists this ribosomal RNA (486 nucleotides) under uncultured bacterium. RNAcentral describes it as "partial 16S ribosomal RNA". It matches the Rfam family "Bacterial small subunit ribosomal RNA", at positions 30 to 507 of the family's 1533-position model. The record is from RNAcentral.